GAUGAACGCUGGCGGCGUGCCUAAUACAUGCCAGUCGAGCGAACAGACGAGGAGCUUGCUCCUCUGACGUUAGCGGCGGACGGGUGAGUAACACGUGGAUAACCUACCUAUAAGACUGGGAUAACUUCGGGAAACCGGAGCUAAUACCGGAUAAUAUAUUGAACCGCAUGGUUCAAUAGUGAAAGACGGUUUUGCUGUCACUUAUAGAUGGAUCCGCGCCGCAUUAGCUAGUUGGUAAGGUAACGGCUUACCAAGGCAACGAUGCGUAGCCGACCUGAGAGGGUGAUAGGCCACACUGGAACUGAGACACGGUCCAGACUCCUGCGGGAGGCAGCAGUAGGGAAUCUUCCGCAAUGGGCGGAAGCCUGACGGAGCAACGCCGCGUGAGUGAUGGAGGUCUUCGGAUCGUAAAGCUCUGUUAUUAGGGAAGAACAAAUGUGUAAGUAACUAUGCACGUCUUGACGGUACCUGAUCAGAAAGCCACGGCUAACUACGUG
Molecule: ribosomal RNA, 497 nt
Filed under: uncultured bacterium
Lineage: Bacteria
Description: partial 16S ribosomal RNA
Rfam family: Bacterial small subunit ribosomal RNA
Source: RNAcentral